Long non-coding RNA from Cyanistes caeruleus (blue tit), 635 nucleotides. The record is from Ensembl. NCBI's taxonomy places the organism in Eukaryota, Metazoa, Chordata, Aves, Passeriformes, Paridae.
UGAGUUUCAGGUUUUUAUUUGGCCAGAAAUCCCAUGGGAAAGCUGUGGAGUCCUUCAAGCCUCCAGUCUUCACAAAAACAUUGUCCAGAAGAAAAGAAAUUCACAUCAGAAAGGCAGGAAUUUGCUGAAGAGGUUGCUGGGCUGCCUUCCUGGAUCCUCUCUCAGCAAGCGAAUUUCAUUCUGGAGAUAGAAGGUAAUUGCUUUUUUGGACACCACUGAAGUGUACCAGCCCUCAUUUCCUGAUUUUCCUCGCUGCUGUCUUUGAUGGUGACAGAACACUCGUGGCCACUGCUGUUCUGUGUUGCUUUCUGAAGGAAAAAACCCCAUGAGGAAACUACAUGCACUGGAGUUACCAUGGAAUGCAAGUCUCAACAGAAAUAUUACAGCUGGCUGAACACACUGCAAGAGCUGUGCUAACUAGAACUGUCUCAACACUGCGUGGGCUGAGCACUACACACGUCCAGGGCCAGUACCAGAUGAUGAUGAAGAGCGUGAAGCAGCUGUCAGAUAUCUUAGCCCUGCUUAUCUGGAUUAGAAAACUUAUUGGGAGGCCUACUUUGCUUCAAACCUUCCUGAUAGAAAAUGGGACAAUGGGAAAGAGGGGUUUUUUCACCUUGUUUACCCUAGAAAUGUGA